Molecule: transfer RNA, 93 nt
Filed under: Ligilactobacillus agilis
Lineage: Bacteria; Bacillati; Bacillota; Bacilli; Lactobacillales; Lactobacillaceae
Description: tRNA-Ser
Rfam family: tRNA
About the family: Transfer RNA (tRNA) molecules are approximately 80 nucleotides in length. Their secondary structure includes four short double-helical elements and three loops (D, anti-codon, and T loops).
Source: RNAcentral
UGGUGGGUUACCCAAGUUGGUUAAGAGGGCAGUUUGCUAAACUGUUAGGUCUGUUUUACGCAGGCGCAAGGGUUCGAGUCCCUUACUCACCGU